RNAcentral lists this ribosomal RNA (712 nucleotides) under uncultured bacterium. RNAcentral describes it as "bacterial SSU rRNA". It matches the Rfam family "Bacterial small subunit ribosomal RNA", at positions 214 to 916 of the family's 1533-position model. The record is from RNAcentral.
UCUGUCAUCAGAUGAGUCUGCGUACCAUUAGCUAGUUGGUAGGGUAAUGGCCUACCAAGGCUACGAUGGUUAGCUGGUUUGAGAGAAUGAUCAGCCACACUGGAACUGAGACACGGUCCAGACUCCUACGGGAGGCAGCAGUGGGGAAUUUUGCGCAAUGGGCGAAAGCCUGACGCAGCAACGCCGCGUGAGUGAUGAAGGCUUUCGGGUCGUAAAGCUCUGUCGAGGGGAAAGAAGUGUACGGAGGCCAAUACCCUCUUUACUUGACGGUACCCCUAAAGGAAGCACCGGCUAACUCCGUGCCAGCAGCCGCGGUAAUACGGGGGGUGCAAGCGUUGUUCGGAAUUAUUGGGCGUAAAGAGCGUGUAGGCGGUUUGUUAAGUCUGAUGUGAAAGCCCUGGGCUCAACCCAGGAAGUGCAUUGGAAACUGGCAGACUUGAAUACGGGAGAGGGCAGUGGAAUUCCUAGUGUAGGAGUGAAAUCCGUAGAUAUUAGGAGGAACACCGGUGGCGAAGGCGGCUGCCUGGACCGAUAUUGACGCUGAGACGCGAAAGCGUGGGUAGCAAACAGGAUUAGAUACCCUGGUAGUCCACGCCGUAAACGAUGAGAACUAGGUGUUGCGGGUAUUGACCCCUGCAGUGCCGCAGCUAACGCAUUAAGUUCUCCGCCUGGGAAGUACGGUCGCAAGACUAAAACUCAAAGGAAUUGACGG